This 804-nucleotide long non-coding RNA is filed under the name Homo sapiens (human). RNAcentral describes it as "HSALNT0115708". The record is from RNAcentral. Lineage: Eukaryota; Metazoa; Chordata; Mammalia; Primates; Hominidae.
UGGCUCAUCUACGCCUCUGCCACAGCAACCCUGGGAGGCGAAUCUUGGCAUGGAAAAAGUGAGGCUCAGGAAGAUUGCGUGACUUACCCAAGGUCACGUGGCCUGUAGGCAACUGAACCAGUCCUUGAAUUCAGAGCUGCCUGAAUCAAGCUCCCACAUUUUCAACAUGUGACCACACUCCUCCAAGCUGAGGGCGUUUCUGCUUGCAAACUGGUGUUUUUCUGGAAGAACAAAGAAGGCCAUCCCAGAAAAAUCUGCCUAAUAAUGAAAAAACCACCCUUUCCAUAUAGGUGCACAGAGAAAAGGCUGAGUGAGGACACAGCAAGAAGGCGGCCCUGCGCACACCAGGAAGAGAGGCCUCACCUGAAACCAACCCUGAGGGCACCUGUAGGGCCUGCAGACCUGUAAAAAGACCAAUGUCUGUUUAAGCCACCCAGCUUGUGGCAUUUUGUUAUGCAGUCUGAGCAUAUUAAUAUGGUUUUUUUUUUUCAGAGAUCCUCAAAGCUCGCAUUCCAACAUAACACAGGAGUGAAAGCACAAGCUUUGAAGUCAGAAAGGACUAAGUUCUCAACCUGGCUUCCCAUUCAGCAGGACCUUGGCUUUCAUCUCUAGGAUCCUGUUUCAUAAGAUUGAUAUGAAAAUUAACUGAAGCAAUGCAUAGGAAAUGCUUGUCGUGGUAUGUGGAACAUGCGUCAGGACCCCUCUGUAGAUGUGGGCAGCCCACCCUAAGGGAAGAAUUAUGGGAAAGGGCUGCAAGAUACCAGAGGUGGGCCAGGCUAUAAAGUCCUAGGAUCAAGUUUAAAU